RNAcentral lists this ribosomal RNA (626 nucleotides) under Streptomyces sp. Its description in RNAcentral is "bacterial SSU rRNA". It matches the Rfam family "Bacterial small subunit ribosomal RNA", at positions 227 to 862 of the family's 1533-position model. Lineage: Bacteria; Bacillati; Actinomycetota; Actinomycetes; Kitasatosporales; Streptomycetaceae. The record is from RNAcentral.
ACGGUCGCGGCCUAUCAGCUUGUUGGUGAGGUAAUGGCUCACCAAGGCGACGACGGGUAGCCGGCCUGAGAGGGCGACCGGCCACACUGGGACUGAGACACGGCCCAGACUCCUACGGGAGGCAGCAGUGGGGAAUAUUGCACAAUGGGCGAAAGCCUGAUGCAGCGACGCCGCGUGAGGGAUGACGGCCUUCGGGUUGUAAACCUCUUUCAGCAGGGAAGAAGCGAAAGUGACGGUACCUGCAGAAGAAGCGCCGGCUAACUACGUGCCAGCAGCCGCGGUAAUACGUAGGGCGCAAGCGUUGUCCGGAAUUAUUGGGCGUAAAGAGCUCGUAGGCGGCUUGUCGCGUCGGUUGUGAAAGCCCGGGGCUUAACCCCGGGUCUGCAGUCGAUACGGGCAGGCUAGAGUUCGGUAGGGGAGAUCGGAAUUCCUGGUGUAGCGGUGAAAUGCGCAGAUAUCAGGAGGAACACCGGUGGCGAAGGCGGAUCUCUGGGCCGAUACUGACGCUGAGGAGCGAAAGCGUGGGGAGCGAACAGGAUUAGAUACCCUGGUAGUCCACGCCGUAAACGGUGGGCACUAGGUGUGGGCGACACGCCACGUCGGCCGGCCGCAGCAUGCAAGGGUUA